GGCAAGACGGAGCGCUGGACAUCUCAGCUCAAUUCACUGCGUUCAAAAAAGGAGAGAGCUCCCGGCGGAUGGCCUCCACUUUAGAUUUAAAGAACUUGUGUUUAUUAUAAGGAAGGACCCUUGAGAGUAACAAUACAUCUCUGAAUACUGCUGUGGAAACACAAAACUUAAACAAGUCUUGUGAGCCGGAAGAGGGAAGAAGGCAGGCUAAGACAGACUCAUAUAUGACCAGUGAAUGGAACAUUCCAACUUAUAGGUUACACCACUGGCAUUGUAAACUGGAACAGCCCAGGAAGGAUCUGCCAUGUGUGUAUACACAUAAAAAUGGAUGAGCAGUUCUCUCUGCAAGCCAGCUCUACUGAAAUGUAGCCAAAUUCUCUACUGAAAGCAGGACAUUUGUAUAUUACUUGAUGGAGCAAGGCCAACAACUGACUGUUAUAAAUGACUGGCACUAGUCAAUGAAGAGGUAAGUAUGAAUUAACUGAAAUUCCCAUAAAGAAACAUUU
Molecule: long non-coding RNA, 506 nt
Filed under: Pogona vitticeps (central bearded dragon)
Lineage: Eukaryota; Metazoa; Chordata; Lepidosauria; Squamata; Agamidae
Description: lncRNA (ENSPVIG00000019097.1)
Source: RNAcentral